GCCCCAGUAGCUCAGAGGAUAGAGCACCGGUUUCCUAAACCGUAGGUCGGACGUUCGAGUCGUCUCUGGGGUA
This 73-nucleotide transfer RNA is filed under the name Spirochaetales bacterium. RNAcentral describes it as "tRNA-Arg". It matches the Rfam family "tRNA". From Rfam's summary of the family: Transfer RNA (tRNA) molecules are approximately 80 nucleotides in length. Their secondary structure includes four short double-helical elements and three loops (D, anti-codon, and T loops). The record is from RNAcentral. Lineage: Bacteria; Pseudomonadati; Spirochaetota; Spirochaetia; Spirochaetales.